Molecule: ribosomal RNA, 606 nt
Filed under: uncultured Sporidiobolales
Lineage: Eukaryota; Fungi; Basidiomycota; Microbotryomycetes; Sporidiobolales
Description: eukaryotic LSU rRNA
Rfam family: 5.8S ribosomal RNA (bases 173-326)
Source: RNAcentral
GACCUGCGGAGGAUCAUUAGUGAAUAUAGGACGUCCAACUUAACUUGGAGUCCGAACUCUCACUUUCUAACCCUGUGCACUUGUUUGGGAUAGUAACUCUCGCAAGAGAGCGAACUCCUAUUCACUUAUAAACACAAAGUCUAUGAAUGUAUUAAAUUUUAUAACAAAAUAAAACUUUCAACAACGGAUCUCUUGGCUCUCGCAUCGAUGAAGAACGCAGCGAAAUGCGAUAAGUAAUGUGAAUUGCAGAAUUCAGUGAAUCAUCGAAUCUUUGAACGCACCUUGCGCUCCAUGGUAUUCCGUGGAGCAUGCCUGUUUGAGUGUCAUGAAUACUUCAACCCUCCUCUUUCUUAAUGAUUGAAGAGGUGUUUGGUUUCUGAGCGCUGCUGGCCUUUACGGUCUAGCUCGUUCGUAAUGCAUCAGCAUCCGCAAUCGAACUUCGGAUUGACUUGGCGUAAUAGACUAUUCGCUGAGGAAUUCUAGUCUUCGGACUAGAGCCGGGUUGGGUUAAAGGAAGCUUCUAAUCAGAAUGUCUACAUUUUAAGAUUAGAUCUCAAAUCAGGUAGGACUACCCGCUGAACUUAAGCAUAUCAAUAAGCGGAGGAA